This 497-nucleotide ribosomal RNA is filed under the name uncultured bacterium. RNAcentral describes it as "partial 16S ribosomal RNA". It matches the Rfam family "Bacterial small subunit ribosomal RNA", at positions 28 to 507 of the family's 1533-position model. The record is from RNAcentral.
GAUGAACGCUGGCGGCGUGCCUAAUACAUGCAAGUCGAGCGAACAGACGAGGAGCUUGCUCCUCUGACGUUAGCGGCGGACGGGUGAGUAACACGUGGAUAACCUACCUAUAAGACUGGGAUAACUUCGGGAAACCGGAGCUAAUACCGGAUAAUAUAUUGAACCGCAUGGUUCAAUAGUGAAAGACGGUUUUGCUGUCACUUAUAGAUGGAUCCGCGCCGCAUUAGCUAGUCGGUAAGGUAACGGCUUACCAAGGCGACGAUGCGUAGCCGACCUGAGAGGGUGAUCGGCCACACUGGAACUGAGACACGGUCCAGACUCCUACGGGAGGCAGCAGUAGGGAAUCUUCCGCAAUGGGCGAAAGCUUGACGGAGCAACGCCGCGUGAGUGAUGAAGGUCUUCGGAUCGUAAAACUCUGUUAUUAGGGAAGAACAAAUGUGUAAGUAACUAUGCACGUCUUGACGGUACCUAAUCAGAAAGCCACGGCUAACUACGUG